This 492-nucleotide ribosomal RNA is filed under the name uncultured bacterium. RNAcentral's name for it is "partial 16S ribosomal RNA". It matches the Rfam family "Bacterial small subunit ribosomal RNA", at positions 29 to 507 of the family's 1533-position model. The record is from RNAcentral.
AGUGAACGCUGGCGGUAGGCCUAACACAUGCAAGUCGAACGGCAGCACAGUAAGAGCUUGCUCUUACGGGUGGCGAGUGGCGGACGGGUGAGGAAUACAUCGGACUCUACUUUUUCGUGGGGGAUAACGUAGGGAAACUUACGCUAAUACCGCAUACGACCUACGGGUGAAAGCAGGGGAUCUUCGGACCUUGCGCGGUUGAAUGAGCCGAUGUCGGAUUAGCUAGUUGGCGGGGUAAAGGCCCACCAAGGCGACGAUCCGUAGCUGGUCUGAGAGGAUGAUCAGCCACACUGGAACUGAGACACGGUCCAGACUCCUACGGGAGGCAGCAGUGGGGAAUAUUGGACAAUGGGCGCAAGCCUGAUCCAGCCAUACCGCGUGGGUGAAGAAGGCCUUCGGGUUGUAAAGCCCUUUUGUUGGGAAAGAAAAGCAGCAGGUUAAUACCCCGCUGUUCUGACGGUACCCAAAGAAUAAGCACCGGCUAACUUCGUG